Molecule: long non-coding RNA, 340 nt
Organism: Heterocephalus glaber (naked mole-rat)
Lineage: Eukaryota; Metazoa; Chordata; Mammalia; Rodentia; Bathyergidae
Source: Ensembl
AAAAAGAAAUGAAAAAGAAAAGAAAAGCUGGGCAUGGUGGCACACACCAGUAAUCUCAGCACUCAGGAGGCUGAGGCAGGAGGAUCACCAUGAGUUCGAAGCCAGUCUGGACUACACAGCAAGAUCCUGUCUCAAAAAACAAAGGGAUAACAUCUUCCAUGCCAGGCCCAGGGUCCCACACCUGUAAUCCCAGCUACUCUCCGGGCUGAGGCAGGAGAUGCUGUCUGGCGUGUGCCAGCUGCUGGCGUCUCUUGCAGGUCAGAGCACCCACAAGAGGAUGCAGUGGUGGCUCCAGGCCUGCAUGUUCACCCUGGCCCUGCUGCUGCGCCUGGGCCCUGGG